GAUGAACGCUGGCGGUAUGCUUAACACAUGCAAGUCGAACGGGGUUACCGGAUCUGCGAACUUCGGUUCAAAGAACUGACUAACCUAGUGGCGGACGGGUGAGUAACACGUGAGUAACCAACCUUAUACACUGGAAUAACACUGGGAAACCAGUGCUAAUACCGGAUAUUAUUAAAUCCAGGCAUCUGGACUUAAUGAAAGAUUUAUCGGUAUAAGACGGGCUCGCGUCUGAUUAGCUAGUUGGUAGGAUAACGGCCUACCAAGGCAACGAUCGGUAGCCGGACUGAGAGGUCGAACGGCCACAUUGGGACUGAGAACGGCCCAGACUCCUACGGGAGGCAGCAGUGGGGAAUAUUGGGCAAUGGACGAAAGUCUGACCCAGCAAUACCGCGUGAAGGAAGAAGGCCCUCGGGUUGUAAACUUCUUUAGGCAGGGAAGAAUAAAUGACAUUACCUGCAGAAUAAGCCACGGCUAACUACGUGCCAGCAGCCGCGGUAAUACGUAGGUGGCAAGCGUUAUCCGGAAUUACUGGGUGUAAAGGGCGCGUAGGCGGGUACGCAAGUUAGAUGUGAAAACCCGGGGCUCAACUCCGGACCUGCAUCUAAAACUGUGUAUCUUGAGUGUCAGAGGGGAAAGUGGAAUUCCUAGUGGAGCGGUAAAAUGCGUAGAGAUUAGGAGGAACACCGGUGGCGAAGGCGACUUUCUGGCUGACAACUGACGCUGAGGCGCGAAAGCGUGGGUAGCGAACAGGAUUAGAUACCCUGGUAGUCCACGCCGUAAACGCUGAUUACUAGGUGUAGGGGGUAUCGACUCCCUCUGUGCCGCAGUUAACGCAUUAAGUAAUCCACCUGGGGAGUACGGCCGCAAGGUUAAAACUCAAAGGAAUUGACGGGGGCCCGCACAAGCAGUGGAGUAUGUGGUUUAAUUCGAAGCAACGCGAAGAACCUUACCAGGGCUUGACAUCCUCGGACGACACUAGAGAUAGUGUUUUCUCUUCGGAGACUGAGAGACAGGUGGUGCAUGGUUGUCGUCAGCUCGUGUCGUGAGAUGUUCGGUUAAGUCCGGCAACGAGCGCAACCCUUAUUGUUAGUUGCCAUCAUUUGGUUGGGCACUCUAACGAGACUGCCGUUGACAAAACGGAGGAAGGUGGGGACGACGUCAAAUCAUCAUGCCCCUUAUGUCCUGGGCUACACACGUACUACAAUGGUAACAACAGCGAGCAGCGAAGCCGCGAGGUGGAGCGAAUCUUCAAAUGUUAUCUCAGCUCAGAUUGCAGGCUGCAACUCGCCUGCAUGAAGCAGGAAUUGCUAGUAAUGGCGGGUCAGCAUACUGCCGUGAAUACGUUCCCGGGCCU
This 1354-nucleotide ribosomal RNA is filed under the name uncultured bacterium. Its description in RNAcentral is "bacterial SSU rRNA". It matches the Rfam family "Bacterial small subunit ribosomal RNA", at positions 28 to 1381 of the family's 1533-position model. The record is from RNAcentral.